CAGUCGCCACGGUAAUACGGAGGGCGCGAGCGUUACCCGGAUUUACUGGGCGUAAAGGGCGUGUAGGCGGCCUGGGGCGUCCCAUAUGAAAGGCCACGGCUCAACCGUGGAGGAGCGUGGGAUACGCUCAGGCUAGAGGGUGGGAGAGGGUGGUGGAAUUCCCGGAGUAGCGGUGAAAUGCGCAGAUACUGGGAGGAACGCCGAUGGCGAAGGCAGCCACCUGGUCCACUUCUGACGCUGAGGCGCGAAAGCGUGGGGAGCAAACCGGAUUAGAUACCCCAGUAGUCCCUGUCUCUUAUAC
Molecule: ribosomal RNA, 301 nt
Filed under: uncultured bacterium
Lineage: Bacteria
Description: partial 16S ribosomal RNA
Rfam family: Bacterial small subunit ribosomal RNA
Source: RNAcentral